Molecule: non-coding RNA, 821 nt
Organism: Heterocephalus glaber (naked mole-rat)
Lineage: Eukaryota; Metazoa; Chordata; Mammalia; Rodentia; Bathyergidae
Source: RefSeq, a predicted model, not a curated record
AGCAAUGAGGAAUUGGCUCCAUGAAGUCACUCCAGCCAGGCUCCAUAGCCACAAUUCUCCAGACAGGAAGUGCAUGCCCCACCCAUUAUAAGUUUCACCACCUCUCAAUAGCACCAUCAGCUGAGGACCAAACCUUCUACACAUGAGAUGUUGGAGGACAUUUAAGAUCCAAGAUUAGAAGUCAUGCAAGCCUCCUUGUCUUGAAGGCUCUGGCAUAGGGAGUGCUGAUGUGAAAGCUCAAGCUCUGUGCAUUUAGCUCUAAGCUGAGGCAUCAGUUCCUACUUACCUGCAUGAAUUCCUUCAAUCUCUGGCUGGAGUGAAAUCUAGAGCUGGGGACUGAAGCAUAACUUCGGAAGCAGAGGCUGUAAAGGCCCAAGCAGAACCAUGGGAGUAGCUACUCCUUCACAUUCCUCCCAGGAAGACCAUAGGGACUUCCUGUGCCGUCUUGGAGAAGCCACAAAAGUCCAAGCACCUGAUGUCCUAUCAUAGGACCCAGAUCCACAAGGCCAGGAUGGUUUAUGCAAGAUGACAGUGCCAGAUACAGGAAAAUUUAACAGGCUCUAAGACAAGCUGACAUAACCACCCCGUGGUACAAUUCUAUCACAAGAAGAAAGAUCUUUUGGAAAUGUGUCCCUAGCCAAUGGGAAUUACUGGACUUCACUCACCCCACCAAAUAAUACAAACUUACUGCUCUCUUUGUUUUCUGAGCAGCAGCUUGGUAAUUCUCUCAACCAGUUUCUGACUCCCUUCAGCUGAAGCCCCAAUUUGGCUGAAACUCCUCCCACCCCUAAUAAAGUUUUGCCUGUGCAGGAGUGUGUGAA